Drosophila miranda is the source of this 410-nucleotide long non-coding RNA. RefSeq lists it as uncharacterized. Lineage: Eukaryota; Metazoa; Arthropoda; Insecta; Diptera; Drosophilidae. The transcript has 2 exons. The record is from RefSeq and is a predicted model, not a curated record.
AUGUACAUAUAAAUUUCCACUGAUUCUGCAAAAGACAUUUAGAGGCAGUGCCGCGCGAGUCCAUCAUCGAAAGUCGAUUCUAACACCGUGAAGUUUUGGAAAAACUGGAAGAAGCCGAGACGGCUAAUAACAAUUUAUUGAAAAGACUUGACAAACUAAAAAAUGCGAAAAGUGCCAUUCUUAAGGACCUAUGACCGAAGAUAGUAAAUCGCAUAGAUAUCAUCAACCCCAGAAACGACGGAGACGCAAUCGAGGAUAUCUAAAACAACACUUUAUCAAUAUAACAUAAAUACUGCAAGUAAAUUGGACGAUAGCGCUGUUUAAAUAAUCAUAAUUGUAACAUAAUUGUAAUUAUUUUUAAAGAGACAUUACAAAUUUGUAAUUAAAUAACAUCUUAAAACCAUAUAAAA